AGAGUUUGAUCAUGGCUCAGGAUGAACGCUAGCGGCAGGCUUAACACAUGCAAGUCGAGGGGUAUAGGUUUUCGGACCUAGAGACCGGCGCACGGGUGCGUAACGCGUAUGCAAUCUACCUUUUACAGAGGGAUAGCCCAGAGAAAUUUGGAUUAAUACCUCAUAGUAUUAUUGAAUGGCAUCAUUUAAUAAUUAAAGUCACAACGGUAAAAGAUGAGCAUGCGUCCCAUUAGCUAGUUGGUAAGGUAACGGCUUACCAAGGCAACGAUGGGUAGGGGUCCUGAGAGGGAGAUCCCCCACACUGGUACUGAGACACGGACCAGACUCCUACGGGAGGCAGCAGUGAGGAAUAUUGGUCAAUGGGCGCAAGCCUGAACCAGCCAUGCCGCGUGCAGGAUGACGGUCCUAUGGAUUGUAAACUGCUUUUGUACAGGAAGAAACAGUUCUACGUGUAGAACCUUGACGGUACUGUAAGAAUAAGGAUCGGCUAACUCCGUGCCAGCAGCCGCGGUAAUACGGAGGAUCCAAGCGUUAUCCGGAAUCAUUGGGUUUAAAGGGUCCGUAGGCGGUUUUGUAAGUCAGUGGUGAAAGCCCAUCGCUCAACGGUGGAACGGCCAUUGAUACUGCAAGACUUGAAUUAUUGGGAAGUAACUAGAAUAUGUAGUGUAGCGGUGAAAUGCUUAGAGAUUACAUGGAAUACCAAUUGCGAAGGCAGGUUACUACCAAUAUAUUGACGCUGAUGGACGAAAGCGUGGGGAGCGAACAGGAUUAGAUACCCUAGUAGUCC
Molecule: ribosomal RNA, 787 nt
Filed under: uncultured bacterium
Lineage: Bacteria
Description: bacterial SSU rRNA
Rfam family: Bacterial small subunit ribosomal RNA
Source: RNAcentral